UUAAGUUCAGCGGGUAGUCCUACCUGAUUUGAGGUCAAGUUUGUCAAAGUUCUUUUUGUUCGUUGUGAGCAGCACAAUCCGUUCAUGCGGCAUACCAAAGGCAUAGAUAAUUUAUCACACCUAUAGUAGCAGCUCAGAUGCCACUAAUGCGUUUCAGGAGAGCAGACCUUUGUUCAAAGCCUGCAAAGACCCCCACAUCC
This 200-nucleotide unclassified non-coding RNA is filed under the name Inocybe sp. Its description in RNAcentral is "partial internal transcribed spacer 2". The record is from RNAcentral. Lineage: Eukaryota; Fungi; Basidiomycota; Agaricomycetes; Agaricales; Inocybaceae.